GAACAGCAACCUUUUUUUUCUUGAGAACAGCACGAAGGUUUUUUCGAUGAACAACAGCUUUUCUUUUCUUGAGAGCAGCAAGAAGGUUUUUCUGAUGGACUAGAAUCCUUCUUGGAACAGCAUGAAGAACCCUCGUUGACGGAUUUCAACUCGGCAUGCUCUGUCCAUAAACUUUUGCCUGUACAAGCACAAAUUUGCUUGGUAUUUUGACCCAAACCAGCGCUACGGGAAAUAAUUCCCAUAGUGGCGGAAUCAGAAUCGUCGACACAUUUAAGAACGAAACAGUGACCAAUCCAAUUUGGUAAGGAUCCAGAAACCUCUUUGUCGAGAACAAUUUUUCCUUGCUCAUUGGAGUUUGCAUUAAAAAGGGUAACAAGGCUAUCGCCAGCGGAUUUGAGUCCACGGGAAAUGUCUCCUGAGAUAGUGACUAAUCCUGUAUACUCUCUAUUUGGUAGGAGUUGAGUAGCAAUCAAAUCGAGGAAAAUUUUCUCCUCGGUGGGAAUAAAACGGCAAAGUCCGUAAACUUUGGGAAUCUGGGUUAUAUCUUCAUUGGCUUCAUAAAGAAUGGAAACGCCCGAUUCUUUGUUACUAGCACCACGAAUGAGAAUGGGCUUCGAAGUGGCAUUUUCCAAGCGCCGAAGGACUUUUGAAGGAGAGACUGAAAAUCUACGUUAGCUAAGAGUAAAAUGAGAAAAAUAGGAAGUAAAAGAGGAAGUCAAACAAUUUACUUUCAAUUUUAUGAACUAAUGUAAAGCAGGAUGAACUCACAAAUCUCUCUUUUCUUCCUCAUUUCUUAUUGGUUUUAUCACUUACCAGAACCCUUCACAAUUAAUUGACCAGUUGCAGCAUCCCAUUUCCAAUCUUCAAUGUUUAAAUCUUGGAAUUCCUGCUCGAGGGUAUUCUUAUUUACGUCGUCACAAUCCUUAAUGAGAUAUUCAACCUAAAAAUUUUAUUAGCACUCUUUGAACCAAAUUUUCAAACAAAUGCCAUACUUCAAACAUGUUGAAAACAAAAAGAAGCCGAAAGCAAAAUAAGCCUUUAAUAUGAUAUUAUUGAUGUUGGCAAAUGGCAACUUCUACGGAACUGCGUAAGGUGGUGAGAUUUACUUUAGAAUGGAAGGCAAACUCAGUAUGAAGAUUAGUCAGAAGGAAAGUUAAUGGUAUAUUGAAUUGAAAAAUGCAAAAUAUGAACGUCAAUUUUUAAAGAAUAUCAUUGAUUUUAUUAGAAAUGACAAUGAAUGUUGGAUUUUUCUAUUUAUUAUUAUUUAUUUUUUUAAAUUUUUUUGGAAGAUUUGUUUUUUAUUCCAAGCGAGUUAAAUGGCUUUUCUUUCUGUUGGUUUAUAAAUGAACAUAGAGAUUGUAUUAUUAUUUAUUUUUCAUUAAUUUUUUAAAGACCAUUUAGCUGUAAUUGUUAGUGUACAACUCCUUCGUUUGAUUUAAAAAAAUAAAAUAAAUGCUAUGGGCG
Molecule: non-coding RNA, 1464 nt
Organism: Schizosaccharomyces pombe (fission yeast)
Lineage: Eukaryota; Fungi; Ascomycota; Schizosaccharomycetes; Schizosaccharomycetales; Schizosaccharomycetaceae
Source: the annotation of a GenBank genome assembly